Long non-coding RNA from Strongylocentrotus purpuratus (purple sea urchin), 266 nucleotides. RefSeq lists it as uncharacterized. NCBI's taxonomy places the organism in Eukaryota, Metazoa, Echinodermata, Echinoidea, Camarodonta, Strongylocentrotidae. The record is from RefSeq and is a predicted model, not a curated record. The transcript has 4 exons.
AAUAAUCGGAUACGUACAAUCGAGAAGAGGUCCCUUUACGGUAUGGAUAUCAAUCGAGUGCGACUCCAGAACAACAACCUCGUUACAUUGAGUGGAAUAUUUGACGGAUUACCUGAACUGGAGAGAUUGAACCUCUCCAGCAAUGACAUCAAACACAUAGAUGAAGGUGACUUCCAGGACCAAAUUAACCUCUUAAUUCUUGAUUUGAGCGUCAAUCCAAUCACUCGCAUCGAUCCUGGCGUAUUCGUUUACACCAUACGUCUGGA